Molecule: long non-coding RNA, 212 nt
Filed under: Mytilus galloprovincialis (Mediterranean mussel)
Lineage: Eukaryota; Metazoa; Mollusca; Bivalvia; Mytilida; Mytilidae
Source: RNAcentral
UAUAUACUAGUUCAGUGAUAAUGAACGCCAUACUAAUUUCCAAAUUGUACACAAGAAACUAAAAUUAAAAAAAAUACAAGACUAACAAAGGCCAGAGGCUCCUGACUUGGGACAGGCGCAAAAAUGCGGCGGGUUUAAACAUGUUUAUGAGAUCUCAACCCUCCCCUAUACCUCUAGCCAAUGUAGAAAAGUAAAUGCAUAACAAUACGCAC